GUGCCAGCCGCCGCGGUAAUACGGAGGGGGUUAGCGUUGUUCGGAAUUACUGGGCGUAAAGCGCAUGCAGGUGGUGAGUUAAGUCAGAUGUGAAAGCCCGGGGCUCAACCUCGGAACUGCAUUUGAAACUGGCUGACUAGAGUACUGUAGAGGGGGGUAGAAUUUCAGGUGUAGCGGUGAAAUGCGUAGAGAUCUGAAGGAAUACCAGUGGCGAAGGCGGCCCCCUGGACAGAUACUGACACUCAGAUGCGAAAGCGUGGGGAGCAAACAGGAUUAGAUACCCCGGUAGUCCC
RNAcentral lists this ribosomal RNA (293 nucleotides) under uncultured Catenococcus sp. RNAcentral's name for it is "partial 16S ribosomal RNA". It matches the Rfam family "Bacterial small subunit ribosomal RNA", at positions 505 to 797 of the family's 1533-position model. The record is from RNAcentral. Lineage: Bacteria; Pseudomonadati; Pseudomonadota; Gammaproteobacteria; Vibrionales; Vibrionaceae.